This is a non-coding RNA of Gossypium hirsutum (cotton), 107 nucleotides long. Lineage: Eukaryota; Viridiplantae; Streptophyta; Magnoliopsida; Malvales; Malvaceae. The record is from Rfam.
AAACCAUGGUGAGGGCACCAUCUCAAAAAGUCCUUGUAUCUCUUCCAUGCAUCAUAUAAGGUUUCUAAGUCGAUCUGAACGAAUGAAGAAAUAUCAUUCCUUAACUU